This 494-nucleotide ribosomal RNA is filed under the name uncultured bacterium. RNAcentral describes it as "partial 16S ribosomal RNA". It matches the Rfam family "Bacterial small subunit ribosomal RNA", at positions 28 to 507 of the family's 1533-position model. The record is from RNAcentral.
GACGAACGCUGGCGGCGUGCUUAACACAUGCAAGUCGAACGGCAAGGCCUGCUUUCCCUUGUGUAUUGCGGGUACUCGAGUGGCGAACGGGUGAGUAACACGGGAGUUAUCUGCCCCCAACUUGGGUAUAAGCCUGGGAAACUGGGUCUAAUUCCCGAUAGGACUGCAGGGUGGUGCCUGUGGUGGAAAACGAUUUUCUAGUGUGUGGGGAUGAGCUCGCGGCCUAUCAGCGUGUUGGUGGGGUAAUGGCCUACCAAGGCGGCGAUGGGUAGCCGGCCUGUGAGGGUGGACGGCGACAUUGGGACUGGGAUACGGCCCAGACUGCUACGGGAGGCAGCGGUUGGGAAUAGUUGACAAUGGGCGGAAGCCUGAUGCAGCGACGCCGUGUGGGGGACGACGGCCUUCGGGUUGUAAUCUCCUGGCGAAGGCGAGGAAGAGAUCUGGUUGGCAGUGUGGUGACGGUAGUGGUAGAAGAAGCACCGGCUAACUACGUG